This is a long non-coding RNA of Bos taurus (domestic cattle), 1371 nucleotides long. NCBI's taxonomy places the organism in Eukaryota, Metazoa, Chordata, Mammalia, Artiodactyla, Bovidae. The record is from Ensembl.
GCUUAGACCAUAUAGGCUCAAAGGAGAACGAAUGACGAAAGCCUUGGUGUCUGCCAAGAGUGAGGAAGAGGGUGGCCUUAUCCCCUCCCCACUUUUUCUUCGAUUGUUCUCGGGGCUGCACUCCCUUGGCGGCCCGCUUGAAUCUCUCACAAGCAUCCUAUGGCAAUAAACUCACUCUCCACCUCUUUGCCUCACACUGAGCUCUUUCUGUGAUGAGACAAAAGAACCUGAGCUUCAGUAAGUCCUGGCACCAGGAAAAAGGCGUUGUGGUUGCGGACCAGCGGCUGGAAGCCAGACACGCCGGGUGCUGCCUCUUGCUACCCUCUCGGUCCGCAUCACCUCCACCCGACAGAACAGGAUGCAGAGGCUCAGAAGCUGCGACAUCCAGUCACCCAGCACGGCAGUGACGCCGCGUGCCAGCAAACCCCGGCCCUCCCUGCCUCCCAGCCUUGGUGCCUUUCUCGGCACAAGGCUGUAAAGUGAUGACAUGAAGGUGGACUAUGUCCCGGGAGCGGGUCUGUGCGAUCCCGUCCCCACACCACACCUCCGCCCCCUCCUCUACCUGGCUGACUCCUCGCCGUCCUUGGACACCCAGCUUGAGGGCCCUCGCCUGCAGGCAGUCUGCCUGAUCUCCAGCCUGUUUCAGAACCCCCGGGGGCCUGUGCUUGGGCAACCAGGGUUCUUACGCUUCAGGUUGUAGCAGAUCCUUGUCAGUCUCCUCCUGCACUAGGGCGCCCAGGGGCCAAGAACUGAUGGCCACCCCGCCCCAGAAAAAAUAAAUAGAUUUAAUAAAUUGCAAGAUCAUCUGUAACUGCUCCCAAAACAGUGGCAUCCUGCAGGCAAGAGCCCACUAAAAAAGUCUUCUAGCAGGCGCCUCUGCUUCACCCACUCCCCACAGCCCCAUGACCCCUUGACCUUCAUCUGUCACCUCGUGACUCAGUGUGGUCCCUGGAUCAGCAGCGUCAGUACCAAGGGCUUGUUGGAAAGGCAGAAGCUCAGACAACCCAGACCCCCGGCACAAAGCAGGGCUUCAUUAACAUCAGCUCUUGUUAUAGGAUUGGAACCUUGCUCUAAAGCCUACUAUGUAGCACCCAUCAUGCCCAUUCCUAGUUGGGGAGCUGGGCUUCAUGGAGGGGAAAUGACUUUCUCCAGGUUUAACAGCCAGGACAUGAUAGACGCGGGUUUCAAACCUAGGGUUCGUGGCUCUCUCAAGCUGAUGGAAGUUAGUGCUGAUAUUCCACAUGGUGGAAAGAGAUAGGAAAUCUCCGUCUAUCAAGCAUGCACUCCUUGCAAAGCCCUUUGCCUGGCUCAUCUCUUGUGAUCUUCCCGACCCCUUUAUGAAGUAGGGGGGUAGGCAGUCUCAUUUUACAG